AAAUGCGGUAUGUGGAUAUACCGAAAUCCCUACCGAAAUCUCCGAAAUCAAACUUUGAUAAAAACAAUGUUUCAUUAGUUAUUUCAGUGUAUUUUGCAACAAUCUGUAUUAAAAUACGCAGUUUUUCGAUAAAUAAUCAAUAUUAAUGGAGAUUUCGUGGGAUCUCGGGGAUUCCUGGGGAUUUUGGUAAUUACGGGAUUUUCGGUAUUUCUUCUCACCCGUCAAAAUGGCUGAAUUCGCCAGAAUGAACGCUAAGAAAAGUAUUUACAAAAUAACAUCAUCACAAACGAUGUAAAGUGAACGCUACUUAUCUGUUUUGUAUAUAAGUAUACGAUCCAUUGGAAAACACUAACAUUUGACAUAAAAAAACGCCAGUGGAUAUGGAAAUCUUCAUCGUUCGGAAUAGCAGACGGCGUCGACCAAUGGCUGCCAAUACAGGUUCGAAAAAAACGCGAGAAAGUAUUAACAAAAUAACAUAAUUAAAAAUGAUGUAAAGUGAACGCUAAUUCGCUGUUUUGUAGAUAAGUAUACGAUCUAUUGAAAAACCAUAACAUUUGACAUAAAAACACCCGUGGAUAUGGAAAUAGCAGACAUCACACGGCGUCUCAUCUGAUUCUACGCUGUUUGCCAAGGCCGAUAAUAUAGUGAAUGGAAAUGCACAAACUCAGUAACUGGCAAGCAUAUAUGCAUUAGUAGGUUGUUUCGUGAUUAUUUAGAAACGACUACAUAAUUCUUUUGGUUCAGCCAGUGCAACUUAACAGAAAUAAGUAUAAUAGUUUCUACACCUGACAACAAUGUGCCAACUUAUACAAGGUGGAUACAAACAUCUUAUACCAACAAAUAUACAAGAUACAAGAGAAUUAAGAGAGAUGUUUUACAACUUGUCUUUGGCAAGCUCCAUCAGAUGUGUUGUUUGCAGAAAGAAUUCUCGCUGGGUCUAUUCUUUUCUAAUUUAUUGCAAAGUGCAUAUUUACCAUAAACAUUCGCAUAGCAAACUAAAUUAUGUAUACAAAUUAUAAUGUCCAGUUAUUUUAAUGAUUAUUUUAAAUUCAAACCAACUGAUGCUACACAUCUGAAGUGUCUAUAGAUGUCUUUUUUGUAAUCUGAGUAUGGUUUUUGAUAUUUUUAAUCAAUUUACGUUGGAUGCUAUGACUGAUACUGUUCCAUUUUCAAUCUAUUAAAUGCAAUUAUGACUCAAAAUUUUAAAUAUAUAUCAAAGGAAACAAAAUAGUUCAUCAUUCCAAGUGUUCAUGGACUUGUCAUGCUCUUUAAUUAUUGUAUCGAUAGUUACCUCUCAAAGGGCGUCUUUAACUUCUUUAAGUAUUGAAGAGAAUGCAACUUUCACUCUUAAAAUUUCAAGAGUUAUGUUGGACAUGUGGGAACUGUGAAAGCAAGAUACUUAUUUCACUAAAUCUUUAAAAGGCACUUGAAUCAACAUCAUGAAAACAUCCUAUCAUUUUCAUAAAUAAUUGUUUUUAUAAAUUUGGAGGGUUUAUGUAUGUUUGAAUCUACGUCAGUGCUACAAAUGAAAGAACUGUUUCAUUUGCCUAAUUAGUUAGGUUUUGUGUAUCAAAUAACCUUUAUAAUAUGAGCUUUUAUUAUCGAUAUUUGAAAUUACAAAUUUACUUGCAUUAUUAAUUAGGCUAUUGUUUUAAUAAGCAAGUGUAUUUACAGGCAAUCUUGCCUGUAUAGACAAGCUAUCUUCUCAAUAUAUCUUAAUUAUGAACAUUGUUUUUGAUAAAAGUGUCUGGUAUUGUUAGUUAAGGUUAUCAAAGAUCGUAUUAACUAGCUUCUAUAUAUAUAGUAAACAUUUCUGUUUAUAUAUUUAUUGUUAAUCGUACUUAAAAAAAAUUGAACAUACCUUUUGUGAUACUUGGUAAUUGUUAACUAGAAUUAAAAUUAAGUUAAAUGAAAUAAUAAAAAAAUAAAGCUUU
This is a long non-coding RNA of Dreissena polymorpha, 1934 nucleotides long. RefSeq lists it as uncharacterized. NCBI's taxonomy places the organism in Eukaryota, Metazoa, Mollusca, Bivalvia, Myida, Dreissenidae. The record is from RefSeq and is a predicted model, not a curated record. The transcript has 2 exons.